This 292-nucleotide non-coding RNA is filed under the name Metabacillus litoralis. Its description in RNAcentral is "Bacillus litoralis T-box sequence". It matches the Rfam family "T-box leader". From Rfam's summary of the family: Uncharged tRNA acts as the effector for transcription antitermination of genes in the T-box leader family. T-boxes are found upstream of many aminoacyl-tRNA synthetase genes and some amino acid biosynthetic genes usually in Gram-positive bacteria. The anticodon of a specific tRNA base pairs to a specifier sequence within the T-box motif, and the NCCA acceptor tail of the tRNA base pairs to a conserved bulge in the T-box antiterminator hairpin. Lineage: Bacteria; Bacillati; Bacillota; Bacilli; Caryophanales; Bacillaceae. The record is from RNAcentral.
AAUGAAACGAUGACAGAGACUAGUAAUUUACAGUUCGUCCAUCCAGGGAAAAAAUGCCUUAGACUGCAAGCAUUUUUAGGAUUGAAGUAAAUGAAUUCACCUCUUGAGUUGACACUUGGACCGCAAUAGAGUAAAGAGAAGAAAGGUUUUACCAACUUCUAACCUCCCACUCCGACCUCUAGAACGUAAAGGUGCUCCGGUUUUUACCGUUAUGGAAAUGAAGUGAGCUGUAUGAGGACUAUGUAUAUACAGUUAACAAGGGUGGUAACGCGAAUUCAAACUCGUCCCUUUU